GAUGCAUCUGUGUCUCAUCAAGGACCAGAAAGGAGGAGGCACCAUGAUUAUCACAUGGAUUUUGAACCCUACCCGGAGACUCUGUAAAACCCCAGAAGAGGUUUCUCAGAGCCUUAAUAUAUUAAUGCACACCUUUAAUUUCAAAGAAGUUGGAUGGCCAGUCUUUCUCCAGUUUCUUUGGACAAAAGUGAUUACUUCCUGGAAACAGUGGAUCUUCCUCCCCAACCAUCAGACAGCACUGGGCUAUUUUCACAUUUGCUGGUCACUUGGAGAAGACUUGGCAAAUCUCAGUAAGUAUUAACUAAUAGGUACACAAAUCCAUUUUUACAUGAUACAAAAUUCACAGUUAAUUUAGACUAUUUCAUAACUUAAUAUAUUUUAAAAUGUAUGAAGCCUUCUAUAUACCUCUGAGUAAAAAUAGUUGGCUUGAUAUUAUUAUAUUUAAAAAUAUAUGCCAAUGAUUAGUAAAUAUUUUCAUUGUUGUUAAGUUUCACAAAUAUACAUAAGUUUCUCACAUUGGUAGUCCUACAAAGCCUUUCUCCAGAAUAUCCCCAAGGGUCAGAGGUCCUUGGAAAGCUGGAGAACUUAACAUAGUGACUAAACUUAACUUGCAUGUUUAGUCACCAUGGAUUCUAUGGACACUAAUUACAAGCACAGGUCCCUUUAAAAAACGUUAAUUGCUUCACUAACUCCCAUCAGUUGAGAUCCUAGCACAUGCAUGGUUCUUCAUACAUACAAUUUUUUAAAAAGAUUUAUUCAUUUGCUUGAAAGACAGAGUUAUUUAGAGACAUACAGGGAGUAAGAUCUUCCUUCUGCUGGUUCACUCCCGAAGUAGCCACAUCAAUGGGAGCAGGUGCCAGGCCAGGCCAAAGCCAGGAGCCUGCAUCUCUACCUCGGUCUCUCACACGGAUGGCAGGGGCUCAAACACCUAGGCCAUUUUUUCGUUGCUUUCCCAGGAUCAUUAGCAAGGAAGUGGACCAGAAGCGGAGCAGCCAGGACUCAAACUGGUGCCCAUAUGGGAUGCCAGUGUUGCAUGCUGGCUUUGCUGCUCCACAAUGCCAGGCCUUCACACAUGAUAUUUAUAGCUAUAUAUUGGUCACAUAUGAUCAGUAAUGGCACUUUUAGAUAAGGAAACUGAGAUUCGAGGUAGUUCCACAAUUAGUAUCUUGUAUAAUUUAGAUUGUAAGCCAGUGCUACUGAGCACUGCUCACACUGUCAUGCUGUCCUGCAUUACCUUUCCUGUGGGGAGAUGGGCAGGUCAGCAACCCAGGCUGACUCAACCAAACUAAAGGCCACCCAGCAAAGAUAUGGAGUUUGCCCAUGACUUCAUAUAGUUCCUGUUGUCCUGUACUUUCAAUGUUGUCAAGUUUGAGGAAAAAAAUGCUAAAGUUAUUUUCUAUUUUGUACUCAUUUUGAAAUAAAUCUAUUUAACACACAAAUCA
This 1442-nucleotide long non-coding RNA is filed under the name Oryctolagus cuniculus (rabbit). Its description in RNAcentral is "lncRNA (ENSOCUG00000039510.1)". Lineage: Eukaryota; Metazoa; Chordata; Mammalia; Lagomorpha; Leporidae. The record is from RNAcentral.